GGAUGAACGCUGGCGGCGUGCCUAAUACAUGCAAGUCGAGCGAACAGACGAGGAGCUUGCUCCUCUGACGUUAGCGGCGGACGGGUGAGUAACACGUGGAUAACCUACCUAUAAGACUGGGAUAACUUCGGGAAACCGGAGCUAAUACCGGAUAAUAUAUUGAACCGCAUGGUUCAAUAGUGAAAGACGGUUUUGCUGUCACUUAUAGAUGGAUCCGCGCCGCAUUAGCUAGUUGGUAAGGGAACGGCUUACCAAGGCAACGAUGCGUAGCCGACCUGAGGGGGUGAUCGGCCACACUGGAGCUGAGACACGGUCCAGGCUCCUACGGGACGCAGCAGUAGGGAAUCUUCCGCAAUGGUCGAAAGCUUGACGGAGCAACGCCGCGUGAGUGAUGAAGGUCUUCGGAUCGUAAAACUCUGUUAUUAGGGAAGAACAAAUGUGUAAGUAACUAUGCACGUCUUGACGGUACCUAAUCAGAAAGCCACGGCUAACUACGUG
RNAcentral lists this ribosomal RNA (498 nucleotides) under uncultured bacterium. RNAcentral's name for it is "partial 16S ribosomal RNA". It matches the Rfam family "Bacterial small subunit ribosomal RNA", at positions 27 to 507 of the family's 1533-position model. The record is from RNAcentral.